UCAGUCGAAUCCCUCAAGAGUGACUUAGAAAGGCAUAAGUUGGUUGAGUUGUGUUAGAUUAGGAUUAUUUUGAUAAGAAUGAGUUUUGGGCCCAACCUUGAGUUAGGGCCCAAGUUUAGUUAAGCCUUUUAGUUGAUUUUAGGCUUAAUAUUGCCUUGUAUUGGAGUUUAAGCAACGAUCGCGUAAGAAUAGACCUAUUCUUAAUGACACAAGUAGAGAAUUUAAGGUAUGAGCCCUGGCCUAGUUUGUUAUACACUUUUGAGUGAUUCAGUUUUACCCUAAUAACUUAGAAUGUCGUCUCAUGUGUGUAAACUGUGUUCUAAGACAUUCACUAAAAGGUUUUCUCUGAAGAGACAUUAUAAUAAUGUUCACAACGAAUACAGCCCUAAUGUCGGAGACCCAAGGUGUUCACAAACUGUUCAGUGUGCAAUAUGUGCUUCAGACCUUGUUAAUACAGCCAAUUUGAAUGAUCACUUAUAUUCUAAACAUCAGAUUAAUAUCAAAUCGGAGGAAAUUUCAUUCAUUUGUGAAGAAGAAUUUUUAAAGUGGAAGAAGUGUCAUGAAGAAAGUGAAAAAACUCUGUUUAUCAACAGAAGAGGUAGCUACACAUAUAAAGACAAGAAAAUCACUUACUAUCAGUGCCAUCGAUCGGGUAAUUACAGAACGCACUUAUCUUCUGAGUCUUGUCGCAAACGAUCCAUAAAAAUUCAGGGAACAAAGAAAAUAAAUAGUUACUGCCCUGCAAAAAUUAAAGCUACUACUUCGAUGGUAAAUGGUAGCGUUAAAGUGGAAUUUUGUAAGACUCAUAUAGGACAUCAAGCUGAGAUAGCCCAUUUGAGUAUCCCUAAAGAUGAACGACAAAGUAUUGCAACCAAAAUUGCCCAACAAAUCCCGUUUGAAGCUAUUAUUGAUGAGGCUCGGCAAACUGUUACCAACGAGAUUACAAGGAGACAUCUUCUGACAAAACAAGAUCUUAGAAAUAUAGUGAGAGACUAUAGUUUAGAUGAUGAAUGUGUUAGAAAUAUAGUGAGAGAUUAUAGUUUAAUUAAUGAAUGUGUACGACAUACAAAUGAUACGAUCAAUGUUGAAAAAGGGGUAGAAAUGGAAAUAGAUAAAAAGUGACAAGAACUCAUUCAUUAGUGUACAAACCUCAGGGUCUUCAUCUGAUUAAUUUUGGGAAACACAGGUUAAACUGAAGUUUUAUAAUUGAAGAUGAAUUACAGUGUAAGCAGCUUCUUGUCUGGACUCUAACUUUAACAGGGAAAGGAAAAUAGAAAUCUUCAGACCGUGAGUGCUCAUGCUUCAAACCACAAUAAUGCCUCAUGUAGUUGUGUUGUGAGAAAAUUUGGUUGAAAAUAUAUGUAGAAAUGUCUGCUUUAGCUGAAAGAACAAUAGGUUUCAAAGGGGACUGCAAAAAAAUGUACAAAAGAACUUUUGUAUUUAAGUGAAUUUUAACAUUGUACAAUAAUGUAUUACAGUGAUUGUGCCUUAUAA
Molecule: long non-coding RNA, 1494 nt
Organism: Macrosteles quadrilineatus (aster leafhopper)
Lineage: Eukaryota; Metazoa; Arthropoda; Insecta; Hemiptera; Cicadellidae
Exons: 3
Source: RefSeq, a predicted model, not a curated record